AGCUUUGCGCUGUGGCAAUAUCAUAGCCAGUGAGGUUUAUCUGAGGCGUGAUUGUUUCUAACGGAAAACUUUUCCCCCAGAAUGACCCAGAAUCCUACCACAUAAUUACUUAGUAAUUGAUAGCUAUCCUUCUACUACUUUUUGUACACAUAUACAUAUA
This 160-nucleotide small nuclear RNA is filed under the name Echinops telfairi (small Madagascar hedgehog). RNAcentral describes it as "U4 spliceosomal RNA (ENSETEG00000021936.1)". It matches the Rfam family "U4 spliceosomal RNA". Rfam says of the family: U4 small nuclear RNA (U4 snRNA) is a component of the major U2-dependent spliceosome. The record is from RNAcentral. Lineage: Eukaryota; Metazoa; Chordata; Mammalia; Afrosoricida; Tenrecidae.